Molecule: long non-coding RNA, 440 nt
Organism: Crotalus tigris (Tiger rattlesnake)
Lineage: Eukaryota; Metazoa; Chordata; Lepidosauria; Squamata; Viperidae
Exons: 3
Source: RefSeq, a predicted model, not a curated record
CCAGUUUGCUGCUAUGACUGCAUUCCUUGUCCAGAGGGGACCAUCUCCACUCAGGAAGUUCUAUUCAUUUCUAAAGAAGAGGGAAUUGUACAAUCUUUCCCUGCUGAAAGUGUACUUGGAUCAGGAUGGAGACCUAGCAGCAGACUUGAGGGUCUUUAUUAGGGCGAUUCUCCUCAAGGAGGAUUCCUCCAACAAGCAAUUGGGGAGUUUUGAAAGACAAAGACUUACAAUCAACCAAGAUGCUUUGUCACAGUUAAAGUUGCUCAACAAGACUUUGUUAAGUAGAAAGCUACUUUAUUGUAAUCUGAUAAAUCAGAAGAAAAAGGGAGGAACUGAAUGAAGCAUCUGCCUGCAAUUGUCUCUCCUGCAACCAUUUGGAAGUGGUAACAGAUUUCAUAUUUGCCUAUGUGAAGCCAAGAGACGACUUGGCUGAUGUUCAU